CGUCAAAGCUUAAUUAUUUUGAUUUAACAAUCCCAAAAAUAAAUUAAAACCCUACCCUAAUACUGAGAAAUUUCAUACACUUAUGAAAGCUAUAAUGUUAAAACUAGUAAUAUGAAAUUUAACCUUUCUCUUAAAUGCAAGUGUAAGUCAGAACGAAUAACACACUGACAAUUAACAGUCUAAACUAAAGUGUUAACCUAACAAGAAAACCCCACUAAUUCAUCUGUUAACCUAACACAAGAGCAUUAAAAGAAAGACUAAAAGAAAAAGAAGGAACUCGGCAAAUAACGAUUCCGCCUGUUUACCAAAAACAUCGCCUCCUGAACAUAAUUAUAAGAGGUCCAGCCUGCCCAGUGACUCUGUUUAACGGCCGCGGUAUCCUAACCGUGCGAAGGUAGCGUAAUCACCUGUUUUUUAAUUAAAGACCUGUAUGAAAGGCAUCACGAGAAUCAAACUGUCUCCUUUCUCAAGUCAAUGAAACUAAUCUCCCUGUGAAAAAGCAGGGAUAUUCCUACAAGACGAGAAGACCCUUUGGAGCUUAAGACAAAUAAAUAUUUGCCUUUUUCCUUUAUUAUACCACAUAGCACUAUAUUUAUUAGUCUUGGGUUGGGGCAACCGCGGAGAAUAAAUUAACCUCCAAACUGAAUGGAAAUUUCCUAAACAAAAAGCAACAACUUUAUGUAUCAAAAAAUUGACACAAUUUGACCAAUACACUUUGACUAAUGAACCAAGUUACCCUAGGGAUAACAGCGCAAUCCACUUCGAGAGUUCAUAUCGAAAAGUGGGCUUACGACCUCG
This 798-nucleotide ribosomal RNA is filed under the name Eleutherodactylus rhodesi (Rhodes' robber frog). Its description in RNAcentral is "partial 16S ribosomal RNA". It matches the Rfam family "Archaeal large subunit ribosomal RNA", at positions 1570 to 2597 of the family's 2987-position model. The record is from RNAcentral. Lineage: Eukaryota; Metazoa; Chordata; Amphibia; Anura; Eleutherodactylidae.